Psammomys obesus (fat sand rat) is the source of this 582-nucleotide long non-coding RNA. RefSeq lists it as uncharacterized. The record is from RefSeq and is a predicted model, not a curated record. Lineage: Eukaryota; Metazoa; Chordata; Mammalia; Rodentia; Muridae. The transcript is spliced from 3 exons.
CCCCAGGAGCCCAUCUUUAGAAUGAAGCCCUGGGAGAAGGAACACAUCAGACCAAUAUUUCCUGUGAAAGUCUUUCCGAUGAGAGCAGUGGAGAUGCUUGCUGAGAAAGUUUGUGUUUAAAGGGAGUGUUCACUGAAUCACUGAUGCCUCCACCCAGGAAAGCCAGUUGAGGGGAAUUUUUGUACUAUCAAUGAAUUCAACCUAUGGUACCUGUUCGCGGCACCUGGGAAGAUUGGCAGGGAAAAGCCUGGAGCUGAAAACUCCUAAGUCCAAAGGAGAGAGAGCGCUGGAGGAUAAUGCCUGGCUGAGGCAAUGAAAGUAAUAAAAAAACAAAAAGCAUGGCUGGAGAGACAGCUGGAUCACUGUCAAACAGGCCUGACCAACCACCCAAGGUUCAUUUCUGGAACCCCCGUAAAGGAGGAAGGAGAGAACCAACUCCACAAAGCCGCCUUCUGACACACACCGUGACACACACGCUCUCCCAGGAAGUUAAUAAAAAUUUUAAAAAUAAACAACUGGAGCCAGGUGUUUAAUCUUUGAACAUCUUUGAUCCCAGCACUCCAGAAGCAGAGGCACGUGGAU